This 490-nucleotide ribosomal RNA is filed under the name uncultured bacterium. RNAcentral describes it as "partial 16S ribosomal RNA". It matches the Rfam family "Bacterial small subunit ribosomal RNA", at positions 28 to 507 of the family's 1533-position model. The record is from RNAcentral.
GAUGAACGCUAGCGAUAGGCUUAACACAUGCAAGUCGAGGGGCAGCAUGGUCUUAGCUUGCUAAGACUGAUGGCGACCGGCGCACGGGUGCGUAACGCGUAUGCAACUUGCCUCACAGAGGGGGAUAACCCGUCGAAAGACGGACUAAUACCGCGUACACUCCAUCUUGGGCAUCCAAGGUAGAGGAAAUGAAAUUCGCUGUGAGAUAGGCAUGCGUCCCAUUAGCUAGUUGGUGAGGUAACGGCUCACCAAGGCGACGAUGGGUAGGGGAACUGAGAGGUUGGACCCCCACACUGGUACUGAGACACGGACCAGACUACUACGGGAGGCAGCAGUGAGGAAUAUUGGUCAAUGGGCGAGAGCCUGAACCAGCCAAGUCGCGUGAAGGAUGACUGUCUUAUGGAUUGUAAACUUCUUUUAUACGGGAAUAACAAGAGUCACGUGUGACUCCCUGCAUGUACCGUAUGAAUAAGCAUCGGCUAACUCCGUG